UGAGUCUCAUUCUUCCGCACGCAAAUAUUUAAAAGUAAGUAAUUUCAAGAAGUCAGUCAAACUCACAAAGCUUUAACAAGGUGGCAUCUAGCUUGCAAGUCAAGUGUUCAAGGCCGCAGUCGGGACAUCCAAGAGCUCUUUACAUCCUAAUUACAACACCGAACCCACACUCACUGUAUACCCCGUCCCGUAUAUAAUGCAAAACUUGAUUCUGCAAGUUCUUUCUCAGGCGGUGAAACUUCGAGGUCCUCUCCAUGGAGACCUCUGAUAAAUGUUUAAGCAGUGAUCCUUUCUCGUUUGCCUCCAUUGCAACGCCUCCGCUGAUGGGAAAAACUACUCCCUCCGCUACUGCGGGGUGGCAGUGACGUCAACGAAUUAGCUGACCUGUUUUUUCGGGCUUCGCGGACCUAGGAGUCCCGAAGGCCGAGAGUGAGUAACUGGGAGCGGGGAGGCUGCGGCUCCUCCUGUCCGGGGCGGAGCCCUGCGUCGCGGGCCCGGGCAGUCCCCGCCAGCAGCCUUGACGUCUGGGUCUCGAGCGCCGCUGCAGCCACCCAGCCCUGAGGCGAGCGAGUGGAUGUGUGCGUGGGGGGUCGGCCAAACUUCCUGUCCCGCGCUCGAGCUGCUUCCGGCGGGAGCCGGAAGACGCUGUGUGUGGACGGAAUUCGGGACCGACAGACGGCCGGCCGGCUGCCCAGAACUGGAAGGUUAAAUUGAUUACCCACCUAGUACAACAUCUUACAGGAAGAGCAUAGUAUUUCCUAGAGGAGUAUGAACAUAACAGGAAGGUAUCAUUGGCUCUGAAUUAAAUUUGAACUUGUCCCCUGAAUAGCUACAGGUUUUGGAAGCUGAAUCAAUGUUAUCAGAUGAGUUAGAAUCCAAACCAGAGCUCCUGGUACAGUUUGUUCAGAAUACAUCCAUCCCAUUGGGACAGGGGCUUGUAGAAUCAGAAGCUAAAGAUAUUACUUGUUUGUCCCUCCUUCCCGUGACUGAAGCCUCAGAAUGCAGUCGGCUAAUGUUACCAGAUGAUACUACAAAUCAUUCUAACUCCUCCAAGGAGGUCCCUUCCUCAGCUGUUUUGAGAAGCCUUCGGGUGAAUGUAGGUCCAGACGGAGAGGAGACGAGAGCUCAGACUGUACAGAAAUCCCCGGAGUUUUUGUCCACUUCAGAGUCUUCUAGCUUGUUGCAAGAUCUACAGCCAAGUGAUAGCACUUCUUUUAUUCUUCUUAACCUAACAAGAGCAGGUCUGGGCUCUUCAGCUGAGCACUUAGUGUUUGUACAGGAUGAGGCAGAAGAUUCAGGGAAUGAUUUCCUCUCCAGUGAGAGCACAGACAGUAGCAUUCCAUGGUUCCUCCGGGUUCAAGAGUUGGCCCAUGACAGUUUGAUUGCUGCUACUCGUGCACAACUGGCAAAGAAUGCAAAAACCAGCAGCAAUGGAGAAAAUGUCCACCUUGGUUCUGGUGAUGGGCAACCAAAAGAUUCUGGGCCCCUUCCUCAAGUGGAAAAGAAGCUCAAGUGUACAGUUGAAGGCUGUGAUCGGACAUUUGUAUGGCCAGCUCACUUUAAAUACCACCUCAAGACUCAUCGAAAUGACCGCUCCUUCAUCUGUCCUGCAGAAGGUUGUGGGAAAAGCUUCUAUGUGCUGCAGAGGCUGAAGGUACACAUGAGGACCCACAAUGGAGAGAAGCCCUUUAUAUGCCAUGAGUCUGGCUGUGGUAAGCAGUUUACUACAGCUGGAAACCUGAAGAACCACCGGCGCAUUCACACAGGAGAGAAACCUUUCCUUUGUGAAGCCCAAGGAUGUGGCCGUUCCUUUGCUGAGUAUUCUAGUCUCCGAAAACAUCUGGUGGUUCACUCAGGAGAAAAGCCUCAUCAGUGCCAAGUCUGUGGGAAGACCUUCUCUCAGAGUGGAAGCAGGAAUGUGCAUAUGAGAAAGCAUCACUUGCAGCUGGGAGCAGCUGGGAGUCAAGAGCAGGAGCAAACUGCUGAGCCACUAAUGGGCAGUAGUUUGCUUGAAGAGGCUUCAGUACCCGGUAAAAACCUGGUGUCUAUGAAUUCCCAGCCCAGCCUUGGUGGAGAGUCCUUGAACCUACCAAAUACCAAUUCUAUCCUGGGAGUUGAUGAUGUUAUGGAAGAACUUAACUUUUAAAACAUUUAAACAGAACAUAACCAGGUUUUACAGAGGAGAUAUAAAGCAAUUUCUCCAUACCUUCAAAAGCCAUAUCUUCUGGAGAAAAGAAAGGGCUCUCUAGGAAACACUUGCUCCUCUCUGGUAUAGAAAUUUCACCCAAGUUACACAGGCCAGGCCCUCUUCUCUGAAAAACUUAACAGAGGUGCUUGCUGAAGGAUCCCCACGUUCCCUGUCUUCAGUGCCUGAUGUGACACAUCACCUGGUGACCAUGCAGUCAGGGAGGCAAUCAUAUGAAGUUUCUGUCUUAACUGCAGUAAAUCCACAAGAGUUACUAAACCAAGGAGAUUUAACUGAAAGACGGACAUGAGCGUGGGUGCUGACUCCUGGAAGAGCAGCUCUAUCUGAUCUCAAAAUGCAUAUACUGGGAACAGGAUGCCAUAGCCCACAACGGAACCAGAAUGAAUCUCUGAAGGACAAGACUCUGCUUUUGCCACUCUUCCUCUUUCCUGGUAUAGAAGAUGGAUGUAGCAGAGCUUCUUUUCUAACUACCACCUGAUCCAGACAAGGAAUGAAGCAAUGACUGUGGGCUGGGAAACUGUACCUACCUCUCUUCCCAAUGCAAAAUUCUGGGAUAGACCAAAAGUGAAUUUGAUUAUGUGUUGGCUGAAGUUCUUCAUUCUGACUGUUGAGGGGAGGUUUUCCUUUGAAGAGUUUUCAUCUCAGACUCAGCUGUCUUUUCACAUGGGUGAAAUAAUUCCUGCUACCAACAACAGAGCUUCACCAGGAAGUUGAGCUUUCAAGAUGCCUUGUUGCUUUGAAGAAGGGAGUGAUGUCAAUUCUCUUGUUACAUUCUCCCUUUAGCAACCUGAGUAAGAGACUCUGCCACUGGGCUGCAAAAAAAUAAAUUACUUGAAUCUCCCCUUGGCCCAGGCUGAGGUACUGUCUUGUCCUAUACACUUCUACUUGGUCACUUUGCUUUCUUCUUUAAUGGAACAUACAGUAGCAUGUUAAGAGGGAUUUCAUGUUUUUGUUUUUUUAAAGUUAAACAUUACAUGAUGCAGAGAUUCAGGUUUUCCUUUAAAUAAACAAAACAGCCCAGUCA
Non-coding RNA from Macaca mulatta (Rhesus monkey), 3230 nucleotides. NCBI's taxonomy places the organism in Eukaryota, Metazoa, Chordata, Mammalia, Primates, Cercopithecidae. The record is from RefSeq and is a predicted model, not a curated record.